RNAcentral lists this ribosomal RNA (252 nucleotides) under uncultured Bacteroidales bacterium. Its description in RNAcentral is "partial 16S ribosomal RNA". It matches the Rfam family "Bacterial small subunit ribosomal RNA", at positions 524 to 776 of the family's 1533-position model. The record is from RNAcentral. Lineage: Bacteria; Pseudomonadati; Bacteroidota; Bacteroidia; Bacteroidales.
UACGGAGGAUGCGAGCGUUAUCCGGAUUUAUUGGGUUUAAAGGGUGCGUAGGCGGGUUAUCAAGUCAGCGGUAAAAUCGUGGAGCUCAACUCCAUCCAGCCGUUGAAACUGGGGAUCUAGAGUGUGCGAGAGGUAUGCGGAAUGCGUGGUGUAGCGGUGAAAUGCAUAGAUAUCGCGCAGAACUCCGAUUGCGAAGGCAGCAUGCCGGCUCCACACUGACGCUGAGGCACGAAAGCGUGGGUAUCGAACAGG